RNAcentral lists this ribosomal RNA (484 nucleotides) under uncultured bacterium. RNAcentral describes it as "partial 16S ribosomal RNA". It matches the Rfam family "Bacterial small subunit ribosomal RNA", at positions 30 to 507 of the family's 1533-position model. The record is from RNAcentral.
AUUGAACGCUGGCGGCAGGCCUAACACAUGCAAGUCGAGCGGAUGAAGGGAGCUUGCUCCUAGAUUCAGCGGCGGACGGGUGAGUAAUGCCUAGGAAUCUGCCUGUUAGUGGGGGAUAACGUCCGGACACGGGCGCUAAUACCGCAUACGUCCUGAGGGAGAAAGUGGGGGAUCUUCGGACCUCACGCUAUCAGAUGAGCCUAGGUCGGAUUAGCUAGUUGGUGGGGUAAAGGCCUACCAAGGCGACGAUCCGUAACUGGUCUGAGAGGAUGAUCAGUCACACUGGAACUGAGACACGGUCCAGACUCCUACGGGAGGCAGCAGUGGGGAAUAUUGGACAAUGGGCGAAAGCCUGAUCCAGCCAUGCCGCGUGUGUGAAGAAGGUCUUCGGAUUGUAAAGCACUUUAAGUUGGGAGGAAGGGCAGUAAGUUAAUACCUUGCUGUUUUGACGUUACCAACAGAAUAAGCACCGGCUAACUUCGUG